CUCAUGGGAUUCUCUCUCUUUCUCUGCUCCCCUCGCUCACUUAUGCCCUCCCUCUCUCAAAAUAGAUAGUGGCCUUUCUCUCAAGGCCACUGACUUGGCCUUGAAAGCUCAAAGCUCUCCAACAGACGUGGGCAGAUUCGGCCUCUGUCUCUCCCUGUGCGUACUCAGGGUGGUGAACCACCUCGGUGUCAGUGCCUCGUGCCUUCUGCCCGGUGAAGGGAGCGCCCAGGGUAGCUCUGCAGUCUUCCCUUGGUGAUUUUUGUACACGCAGUGCAGCUGGGCCGGCCCCGUGUCGCACCGAGCUCCAGGAUCGGUGACAAUGGACAAUGCAUCUUCAUCCUGACUUGUGUGGCAGAAAGCAGAGCAACCUCUGUGGCCUACAGCCGGAUGCCUCUGGGACCCCGGACCGCUGUGUCCCGCGGAGGGUCUGUCCUCGGUGUCUCCUUGAGGCCCCGGGGACAGUGCUGUGGCCUUCACCUGCGCGGUCCAGGACGCAGUCAGUAACAGCGGCUCCCUCCCUGUCUCAGCGCCGCCCUUGUGUGCAGGGCCAGGGAUCCUGGGAGGGGACACGGUCGGGGAGACAGUGUUCGGACCCGGAGGCAAACCAAUCCUGGCUGCUGGGAUUUAGGGACCUUACAGCGAACGACUGUGUGUCCUCUCUGCAGAUCAGGUCCCCAAGGCUGCAGGGCCCUGGCCCCUCCGGAGCCUGGAUAACUCUGCCUAUUUGUCACCGCCACCAAGGAUUUCAC
This is a long non-coding RNA of Herpailurus yagouaroundi (jaguarundi), 749 nucleotides long. RefSeq lists it as uncharacterized. Lineage: Eukaryota; Metazoa; Chordata; Mammalia; Carnivora; Felidae. The record is from RefSeq and is a predicted model, not a curated record. The transcript is spliced from 3 exons.